UGGCAGUGCAAUUAGAGAAAGAUAAUUACUGAAAAACAGUUACUUCAAGUUACUGUUGCUAAGGGUGGUUUUAAAAACUACUGGGUCAUGGGUUUUUUGACUUUUCACAAAAGGUAUAACUUUGCUAUAUUUAUGUGGAUACACAAGGAAAUACUGUGCGAUUUAUUUUUCACAAUAUUUUGUAGUUAGCGUUCAUGUAAAGACCUAAUAUGCUAAUUUAACCAAAAUCAUGUAAAACCAGUGAAGCUUUUUACAGUUUGAGCAACAAAGAAAAAGAACAAGAGGACCUGGAGCGAGAGGAUUUUUGAUUCUUGGGAAAGGGCAAAAAGAUCUGCAAAAGUAAAAGGUGAAUCACACAUGUACUGCGCUCAACUCAAGGUAGACAACUGGCACAGGUAGAAAGAGAACAAAGACGGAGGAGAACAGAGGGAUGGAAACGGACGCAUGUCUGUUAUGUUCGUGAGGGUUAAACUCUGGGGAAAUUACCUCAUCGCAAGACCUCUCCAGAGCGCUGCAGCCAUGUUGAUUUUUCACUGCUUGUGUCUAACUCGAGCCAGGCCAAACCAGCCAAACUCUGACAGUUUGACCUUCCUCAGAGGUCACUCCUAUUCUUACAGCAGCCAGCCCAGCACGGCCUCCUGCUUCAGCACAGGCCAGCCCUGUAUAACUGAUCACACCGCUAUCCAGGCUCAUUCUGCAGAGAUGUGGGAAUGAAAGGUCCGAUUAGGGCCUGCUGGAAGUAUUCAGCACACAGUCGCUACCCCGCCCGGCCCAUCACUCCAGUCGGCGGCCCCCUUCUAACCAGCCCCUGCUCCCCUCCGUCCUGCGCUCCUCAGAGCUGUGAUUGGCAUGUGAAUUACAGUGUGUGGUGAUGAUAAUAAGAGUGCUAACCGGGGCCAGGCCUGCGCCUUCGAGCCAGCAGCCAAUCCCAGCUGGCACAGCCUGAAAGACAACCGCUGCCACCAUCUGAAGAGGCAAAUAAAAAUGACAAGCU
This is a long non-coding RNA of Oreochromis aureus, 994 nucleotides long. The record is from Ensembl. Lineage: Eukaryota; Metazoa; Chordata; Actinopteri; Cichliformes; Cichlidae.